AUGUCCACACGCUGCAGCAGGCGCUGGACGUCGCCCCGCCGCCUCGUCUUCGCACGGCACAAGACCGUGCGGAGCACGUUGAGCGGCAGAACCGCCUCCUCGUCGCCCAUGAGGACGAGCGGGUCAUGGCGGAGUGGUGCCAACAACACCCGGAGGACGUAUCCUACGAGCAAGCCUACUGGGCAAGGCGCCGCGAGGAGGAGACGCAAAGGCGCCGCGCUGAGCGGUUGGACAGGCGUCGGCGGAAGGCCCUGGCGCUAUCCCAACAUGUGGCUCGAUUCCUCGGAUCAGACCAGCGAGGAUGGCGACGAUGACGAUGACAACGACGACUGGGAGUAG
Molecule: ribosomal RNA, 339 nt
Filed under: Triticum aestivum (bread wheat)
Lineage: Eukaryota; Viridiplantae; Streptophyta; Magnoliopsida; Poales; Poaceae
Description: partial small subunit ribosomal RNA
Source: RNAcentral